Molecule: unclassified non-coding RNA, 238 nt
Filed under: uncultured fungus
Lineage: Eukaryota; Fungi
Description: partial contains 5.8S ribosomal RNA, internal transcribed spacer 2, and large subunit ribosomal RNA
Rfam family: 5.8S ribosomal RNA (bases 1-52)
Source: RNAcentral
AACGCACAUUGCGCCCGGUGGUAUUCCGCCGGGCAUGCCUGUUCGAGCGUCAUUAUAACCACUCAAGCCUAGCUUGGUAUUGGGGUUCGCGGUGCCGCGGCCCCUAAAAUCAGUGGCGGUGCCGGUAGGCUCUAAGCGUAGUAAAUAUCCUCGCUAUAGGGUCCCUCCGGUUACUCGCCAGAACCCCCCAUUUUUUCAGGUUGACCUCGGAUCAGGUAGGGAUACCCGCUGAACUUAA